This 496-nucleotide ribosomal RNA is filed under the name uncultured bacterium. Its description in RNAcentral is "partial 16S ribosomal RNA". It matches the Rfam family "Bacterial small subunit ribosomal RNA", at positions 28 to 506 of the family's 1533-position model. The record is from RNAcentral.
GAUGAACGCUGGCGGCGUGCCUAAUACAUGCAAGUCGAGCGGACGGACGAGAAUCUUGCUUCUCUGAUGUUAGCGGCGGACGGGUGAGUAACACGUGGAUAACCUACCUAUAAGACUGGGAUAACUUCGGGAAACCGGAGCUAAUACCGGAUAAUAUUUUGAACCGCAUGGUUCAAAAGUGAAAGACGGUCUUGCUGUCACUUAUAGAUGGACCCGCGCUGCAUUAGCUAGUUGGUACGGUAACGGCCUACCAAGGCAACGAUGCAUAGCCGACCUGGGAGAGUGAUCGGCCACACUGGAACUGAGACACGGUCCAGACUCCUAGGGGAGGCAGCAGUAAGGAAUCUUGCGCAAUGGGCGAAAGCCUGACGGAGCAACGCCGCGUGAGUGAGGAAGGUCUUCGGAUCGUAAAACUCUGUUAUUAGGGAAGAACAUAUGUGUAAGUAACUGUGCACAUUUUGACGGUACCUAAUCAGAAAGCCACGGCUAACUACGU